This 253-nucleotide ribosomal RNA is filed under the name uncultured bacterium. RNAcentral describes it as "partial 16S ribosomal RNA". It matches the Rfam family "Bacterial small subunit ribosomal RNA", at positions 524 to 776 of the family's 1533-position model. The record is from RNAcentral.
UACGUAGGGGGCAAGCGUUGUCCGGAAUCAUUGGGCGUAAAGCGCGUUUAGGCGGCUCGAUAAGUCUGCUGUGAAAGUUCAGGGCUCAACCCUGAAAUGCCGGUUGAAACUGUCGAGCUAGAGUCCGGAAGAGGCGAGUGGAAUUCCUGGUGUAGCGGUGAAAUGCGCAGAUAUCAGGAGGAACACCAAUGGCGAAGGCAGCUCGCUGGGACGGUACUGACGCUGAGACGCGAAAGCGUGGGGAGCGAACAGG